CAAUAAGCGGAGGAAAAGAAACCAACAGGGAUUGCCCCAGUAACGGCGAGUGAAGCGGCAACAGCUCAAAUUUGAAAUCUGGCGCAAGCCCGAGUUGUAAUUUGUAGAGGAUGCUUCUGGCCAGCGGCCGUUCUAAGUUCCUUGGAACAGGACGUCAUAGAGGGUGAGAAUCCCGUAUGUGACCGGCGCGCAGCCUUUACGUAGCUCCUUCGACGAGUCGAGUUGUUUGGGAAUGCAGCUCUAAAUGGGAGGUAAAUUUCUUCUAAAGCUAAAUACCGGCCAGAGACCGAUAGCGCACAAGUAGAGUGAUCGAAAGAUGAAAAGCACUUUGGAAAGAGAGUUAAAAAGCACGUGAAAUUGUUGAAAGGGAAGCGCUUGCAACCAGACUUCGUAGCGAUGUUCCGCUGGUCUUCUGACCGGUCUACUCAUCGUCGCGAGGCCAACAUCGUCUGGGCCCGCUGGAUAAGACCUAAGGAAUGUAGCUUCCCUCGGGAAGUGUUAUAGCCUGUGGUGAUGCAGCGCGGCUCGGGCGAGGUCCGCGCUUCGGCAAGGAUGUUGGCGUAAUGGUUGUCAGCGGCCCGUCUUGAAACACGGACCAAGGAGUCUAACAUCUAUGCGAGUGUUCGGGUGUCAAACCCCUACGCGUAAUGAAAGUGAACGGAGGUGGGAAGCGCAAGCUGCACCAUCGACCGAUCCUGAUGUCCUCGGAUGGAUUUGAGUAAGAGCAUAGCUGUUGGGACCCGAAAGAUGGUGAACUAUGCCUGAAUAGGGUGAAGCCAGAGGAAACUCUGGUGGAGGCUCGCAGCGGUUCUGACGUGCAAAUCGAUCGUCAAAUUUGGGUAUAGGGGCGAAAGACUAAUCGAACCAU
This 868-nucleotide ribosomal RNA is filed under the name Cercosporidium miurae. RNAcentral describes it as "eukaryotic LSU rRNA". It matches the Rfam family "Eukaryotic large subunit ribosomal RNA", at positions 44 to 943 of the family's 3401-position model. Lineage: Eukaryota; Fungi; Ascomycota; Dothideomycetes; Mycosphaerellales; Mycosphaerellaceae. The record is from RNAcentral.